CACAGAACGGAUUGGCUCUGAGACAAAUGCAGGCGUCGCGUUUAAUUGAUUGUGGCAGACACGGAACAGACUGGUUUCGAGACAAGUGGUAACAAGACUCGAUCAAAUGCGAAAUUGUUACGUGAGUACCGUAUUAAAAAAUAAUAAGAAAAAAGGGGAAAAGAAAAGUAGCUAGAAAUGACGACGGAC
Mycetomoellerius zeteki is the source of this 189-nucleotide long non-coding RNA. RefSeq lists it as uncharacterized. The record is from RefSeq and is a predicted model, not a curated record. The transcript is spliced from 3 exons. Lineage: Eukaryota; Metazoa; Arthropoda; Insecta; Hymenoptera; Formicidae.